Molecule: transfer RNA, 91 nt
Filed under: Pseudonocardia autotrophica
Lineage: Bacteria; Bacillati; Actinomycetota; Actinomycetes; Pseudonocardiales; Pseudonocardiaceae
Description: tRNA-Ser
Source: RNAcentral
CGUCGCCGCGUCCCCGGUGCGGGACGCCGUCGACUGGUCGGCGGUCGAUCUGUUCUGGGGUGACGAGCGGUUCGUGCCCGCCGACGACGGC